This 403-nucleotide ribosomal RNA is filed under the name uncultured bacterium. Its description in RNAcentral is "partial 16S ribosomal RNA". It matches the Rfam family "Bacterial small subunit ribosomal RNA", at positions 28 to 526 of the family's 1533-position model. The record is from RNAcentral.
GACGAACGCUGGCGGCGUGCCUAAUACAUGCAAGUCGAACGCAGAGGGGACGGGUGAGUAACACGUGGGUAACCUCCCAUCAGAGGGGAUAACACUUGGAAACAGGUGCUAAACCGAUACUGAUGGAUGGACCCGCGGGGCAUUAGCUAGUGGGUGAGGUAACGGCUCACCAAGGCCACGAUGCAUAGCAGCACUGGUAGGGUGAUCGGCCACCCAGUGACUGAGACACGGCCCAGACUCUGACGGGAGGCAGCAGUAGAGAAUCUUCGACAAUGGACGAAAGUCUGACCGAGCGACGCCGCGUGAGUGAGGAAGGUUUUCGGAUCGUAAUACUCUGUUAUUAGAGAGGCGGUAUCUAACCAGAAAGCCACGGCUAACUACGUGCCAGCAGCCGCGGUAAUUC